GAUGAACGCUGGCGGCGUGCCUAACACAUGCAAGUCGAACGGAGUUUAUAUUAUGAAGUUUUCGGAUGGAUUAAUGUAAACUUAGUGGCGGACGGGUGAGUAACGCGUGGGUAACCUGCCUCAUACAGGGGGAUAACAGUUGGAAACGGCUGCUAAAACCGCAUAAGCAUACAUUGUCGCAUGACAGAGUGUGAAAAUAUUUAUAGGUAUGAGAUGGGCCCGCGUCUGAUUAGCUAGUUGGUAAGGUAACGGCUUACCAAGGCGACGAUCAGUAGCCGGCUUGAGAGAGUGACCGGCCACAUUGGGACUGAGACACGGCCCAAACUCCUACGGGAGGCAGCAGUGGGGAAUAUUGCACAAUGGGGGAAACCCUGAUGCAGCGACGCCGCGUGAGUGAAGAAGUAUUUCGGUAUGUAAAGCUCUAUCAGCAGGGAAGAAAAUGACGGUACCUGACUAAGAAGCCCCGGCUAACUACGUG
RNAcentral lists this ribosomal RNA (478 nucleotides) under uncultured organism. RNAcentral describes it as "bacterial SSU rRNA". It matches the Rfam family "Bacterial small subunit ribosomal RNA", at positions 28 to 507 of the family's 1533-position model. The record is from RNAcentral.